GACGAACGCUGGCGGCGUGCUUAACACAUGCAAGUCGAACGCUGAAGCACCAGCUUGCUGGUGUGGAUGAGUGGCGAACGGGUGAGUAAUACGUGAGUAACCUGCCCUUGACUCUGGGAUAAGCCCGGGAAACUGGGUCUAAUACUGGAUGCUACAUGUCACCGCAUGGUGGUGUGUGGAAAGGGUUUACUGGUCUUGGAUGGGCUCACGGCCUAUCAGCUUGUUGGUGAGGUGAUGGCUCACCAAGGCGACGACGGGUAGCCGGCCUGUGGGGGUGACCGGCGACACUGGGACUGAGGGACGGCCCAGGCUGCGACGGGUGGCAGCUGGGGGGAAGAUUGAACAAGGGGCGAAGGCCGGAUGCAGAGAGGCCGCGGGUGGGAUGACGGCCUUCGGGUUGUAGACCACUUGCAGCAGGGAAGAAGCCACAAGUGACGGUACCUGCAGAAGAAGCGCCGGCUAACUACGUG
This 470-nucleotide ribosomal RNA is filed under the name uncultured bacterium. RNAcentral describes it as "partial 16S ribosomal RNA". It matches the Rfam family "Bacterial small subunit ribosomal RNA", at positions 28 to 507 of the family's 1533-position model. The record is from RNAcentral.